CUUCCCUCGAGUGGUGGAUAACCUUCCGAAAGGGAGGCUAAUGCAGCAUGAGACCACGGGAGCGAAAGCUUCUGAGGUCAAGGUCGGCCUCUAUACAUAAGCUGGCGCUCGGGGAUGAGCCUGCGGCCCAUCAGGUAGUUGGUAGGGUAAUGGCCUACCAAGCCGAAGACGGGUAGCUGGUCUGAGAGGAUGAUCAGCCACACUGGAACUGAGACACGGUCCAGACUCCUACGGGAGGCAGCAGUGGGGAAUCUUGCGCAAUGGGCGAAAGCCUGACGCAGCGACGCCGCGUGAGUGAUGAAGGCCUUCGGGUUGUAAAGCUCUGUGGGGAGAGACGAAUAAGCCUUGGCUAAUAUCCAGGGUGAUGACGGUAUCUCCUUAGCAAGCACCGGCUAACUCUGUGCCAGCAGCCGCGGUAAGACAGAGGGUGCAGACGUUGUUCGGAAUUACUGGG
This 454-nucleotide ribosomal RNA is filed under the name uncultured Sorangium sp. Its description in RNAcentral is "bacterial SSU rRNA". It matches the Rfam family "Bacterial small subunit ribosomal RNA", at positions 126 to 558 of the family's 1533-position model. Lineage: Bacteria; Pseudomonadati; Myxococcota; Polyangiales; Polyangiaceae. The record is from RNAcentral.